Pongo pygmaeus (Bornean orangutan) is the source of this 2080-nucleotide RNA transcript. It is a transcript of the gene named phosphoserine phosphatase-like, with no coding region annotated. Lineage: Eukaryota; Metazoa; Chordata; Mammalia; Primates; Hominidae. The record is from RefSeq and is a predicted model, not a curated record. The transcript has 7 exons.
AGAGGCCCGCCCCUCACGCGGAACCAAUCGGAACUCGCGGCGGAGCUGCGGGGGGCUUCCAGGAAUGCGCAUGCGCGGACGGCUGGCUACAGGCUGCAGGGUGGGAUUUAACUGGCCGCUGAGCUGGUCUUUUUGUGUCCGCAGGCUUUGGCCCGGCUGCCGCCUCCCAUAAGCUACCAGGAGGAGCUUUACACUUCCCGGCCUGCGGAGCCGGGCGCAGCAAGGGCCAGACGCGGCGCGAGCAGGCUCUGCGCGCCAACCGGCUUUCUCCUGGCAGGCACGAUCGCACGGUCGCGGAGAAGCUCCUUAAUGGCCAGCGGCAGCUGCAGCCCCUGCCUCGCACUGGCCUCACCUGAUCCUGGGCUCUUGCUCUUGCAGAAUCCACUGGUCUUUCUUGAAGAAAUGUGUAGCCAGAACUUUGGGCUCCAUUUUUAUCUAGGGAUGGAACAGAAGAGAAGAGUGUGGUCUCCUAGAAAUCUAGCACUGGAGAAAUUGGAAUUAUGCUACAGUAAGCACUGCUUCUCUGCUAAUAGACCUGCUGACUUCAAGACCUUUACAGCAAGCCUGCCUGGGACACGGCGAGCCAUGGGCGGGACAGUGUCUUUCAAAGCUGCUCUCAUGGAGCGUUUAGCCCUCAUCCAGCCCUCCAGGGAGCAGGUGCAGAGACUCAUAGCAGAACACCUUCCACACCUGACCCCCGGCAUAACAAGGAAAAUUCUUCCAAGGAUGGUCUCCCACUCAGAGCUGAGGAAGCUGUUCUACUCAGCAGAUGCUGUGUGUUUUGAUGUUGACAGCACGGUCGUCAGAGAAGGAAUUGAUGAGCUAGCCAAAGUGUGUGACGUUGAGGACGCGGUGUCAGAAAUAUAAGCAUGGAUUCCUGGUUCAUUCUUGUUCUGCUUGGCAGUUGUCUGAUACGUGUCAGAGCCAACAAUGCUACCACAGGUAAUUCUGACUCGAAGGAGAGAAGAGGUGAACUGCUCACCUUCUAUCUAUUGUUCCUUUUACACAGUGUACAGUAUUCAUCUAUUUCCUCUGCUCACAGUCUGUGGUAACCAUGUGCAUCUGUAGCUGUGUUGUUUUUUUCCUUCCCUUAAGUCGUUUCCAUGCUAACCUCAUAGAGAAGAGCAUUAGAAACAAGUACUUUAUUCAGUAUGUUUUUUAAUAUAGCCUUUGAAUUCUAACAGCUAUGAUGUAUUUUAACAAGUAAUAAAAUAUAUCAUACUUUGUCAUGUGAGGUCAUACUUGUUAACAUUGCCUUUUGGUGAUAUUAGGUCAUAAUUUCUGUACCAUGGAUUACUUCUGACUUCUAGGCCACAGUUCCCUUUAAACAUUCUUUGUGUUAUUUUUCCCUUAGUCUAUAAAAUGUCAACCCUUUGUGGCUUUAUAUGGAUUUUAUGGAUUUUCAGCCGUUUAAUGUAAAGUCUCUAUGGCCUGAGAUGUUGUGUCUGUGGUUUAAGCUGGACCGCUGAGUCCCUGGUCACCAGAGAGCAGGAGGACACGGGUACUCAUCUGCAGAAGUGUAGCACAUUUUGCCUAGAACAACAGUAAGGCUGCUAUCAAAGAGCAUGAGUGAAAGAGAAAGAGAUCAUCUAACAUUCUAAGAAGUGAUUAUUUGAGUUUUAAAAAUGUUACUCUUUGAAGCAAAGUUUGUAUAAUUUUCUAUUUUAUCAAAUCAGACUUGAGUUUUUUUCUGAUUCUAUUAUUUAACCAUACACAAUUGUCCCUGUGUAAUUAAGCAGUGGAACACUUGGAGGCAUAUGAAGUCCCACUAAGUAGGGAGCAUUUGAGUCAGAAAAGUGGGUACUCCGAUCCUUUAUGUGAUGUCCAUCUGUUAUUGUAUUUUAAGGAAUAGUGAGGUGUUACCAUACUGUGUAUAGAUUUCCCUCACUCUUCCAGCUCUCACUUUUCUAAACUUGGGAACUAAACGUUGGAUUAAUGCGAUGUCUUUGCUAUUCAGAUUCACUUGCCAGAUUCUCACUAUCAAAUGUGAACUUAAAUAAGUUUUACUGUAUUUACUUGCUCCCUAAAACUGCUCUUUUAACCAGUCUUCAAUAAAGUCAAAAGUCAAAGUGGUAGGCUU